CUGUUAUGAGAACCAUGGGGGCAAUCCAGGCUGCUGGGACCACACACUUCUGCUAUGAGCAUCUGCAGGGAGCCCUCGACUUCAGCUGGGAGUAGGUGGUGAAAACUUUGGAAGGCCAAGUGCAGAGAACUCCACCUGGGAUUUAAUCUGGAAACCGGCAAGGGGAGUCCCCACCCCCACCCCCUCACCAUCACCCGGUGCUGCUGCUACAGAGGUUUCACAAUGCGGUUCUCCAGAGCUGCGCUGUGCAGAGGGUGAUCUGCUCAAGGUGCUGAAUCCCGGGGACCCUGAUUAGAGCAGAUGUCGCUGCGGGAACUGAGUCUAGACAUGGAAAUUGUGUCCCUAAUCUCCCAAACCCGCCUUUUCUACAUUCUCUGAAGACGCUGUUUCUGUCAACAGUCACUGUGGGAGCCAAGCCGGAAACACGUGUGCAAUCAGCAGCCGCAGCAUCUACAAAGCGUUAUGAAAUCCGUUCAAAAAUAG
RNAcentral lists this long non-coding RNA (483 nucleotides) under Cricetulus griseus (Chinese hamster). RNAcentral describes it as "lncRNA (ENSCGRG00015039290.1)". The record is from RNAcentral. Lineage: Eukaryota; Metazoa; Chordata; Mammalia; Rodentia; Cricetidae.